This 201-nucleotide small nuclear RNA is filed under the name Suricata suricatta (meerkat). RNAcentral describes it as "U2 spliceosomal RNA (ENSSSUG00005010329.1)". The stretch from base 1 to 109 matches the Rfam family "U2 spliceosomal RNA". Rfam says of the family: U2 is a small nuclear RNA (snRNA) component of the spliceosome (involved in pre-mRNA splicing). Complementary binding between U2 snRNA (in an area lying towards the 5' end but 3' to hairpin I) and the branchpoint sequence (BPS) of the intron results the bulging out of an unpaired adenosine, on the BPS, which initiates a nucleophilic attack at the intronic 5' splice site, thus starting the first of two transesterification reactions that mediate splicing. Lineage: Eukaryota; Metazoa; Chordata; Mammalia; Carnivora; Herpestidae. The record is from Rfam by way of RNAcentral.
AUCGCUUCUUGGCCUUUUGGCUAAGAUCAAGUGUAGUAUCUGUUCUUAUCAGUUUAAAAUGAGAUUUAUAGUAAUGUUAUAGGCUUGUUUUACGAUUGAGUAAUAGCACUGUGCUAUGAUAAGCAAUCAGUAUAUUUAACUAUUAUCAUUGCUACUAUUGUGGUGUUUCAUUGAACUCCUGAAGUGUCUGUGAUGAGAAUA